GAAUGGGAUUGUGGACAUUGCUUGAGGGUUUUCUACUUCUUGCAAAUGCUUUAGCCAUAUUGAAUGAGGAUCGAUUUCUUGCUCCUAGGAGAUGGAGUUUCUCUGAAGUUUCAGGAAACGGCAGGUCAAAAUCAUUGAAGGGGCAGCUCAUAGGGCUUAUCUAUGCCACCCAAUACCUCAGAGUGCCACUGAUAGUUCUCAAUGCUAUCAUCAUAGUAGUGAAGUUGGUUUCAGGCUAACUUUUAAGCGGUUGUGAAUGGGACUAAAAAAAGGGGAAAUCUUGGAAGUAACAGAUGCGAGUGAAGAAGGGAAGAAACAUAGGAUUUUUUGUCUCAGGUUUACUUGGGUUUAACUUCUACUAAAUGUAUGUUUUCAAUUUGCAUGGCUUAUCAUUGUGCUGAUCUUGAGAAUGAACCAACAUGUUUGGAGUUUGUCUACGGUACUUCUACAGCAUAUUUCAGAUCAUUAGAUUUGGAUGAAUGAGAUUUUGCUCCUCUCUCUGUCUCUUUAAA
Molecule: long non-coding RNA, 512 nt
Organism: Elaeis guineensis (African oil palm)
Lineage: Eukaryota; Viridiplantae; Streptophyta; Magnoliopsida; Arecales; Arecaceae
Source: RefSeq, a predicted model, not a curated record